CCCAAUUACAAUGUCUUGUUGACAAAAAAAUUAAAAAAUAAUAAAAACUUAUACCACAGCCCGUCCAUGAAGCCACAACGUUCUAGACAACUGAAACCAUAUACAAUCUACACCGCACCGGUACUAAACUUUGACGACUCGAGAAUACAACCCCUCAACCUGAGGUGGGAUUCUCAAAUAACUUACAAGCCGCCCAAAAAAAUUGAUGGCCCUAACAAAACGAGCAACUGUCCUCGAGAGAAACUUUCUUGCACAACCAAGACGUCUACAACUGGCCACGACGAACAUGGUCGAGGUGACAGGUUAUCCAAGAUGCUAUCUCACAAGAUUGAAUUUGUCCUACACUUUGGCUAAGGCUGCAAAAACUCUUACCUGCGGCCUGCAAAUCGCAGGAAAUUAACCGUCCACCAAUGCUAUACCGGCAAAAUGGCAAAACAAUCGAAGGGAACCAGAAAUGCUUUAUGACGUCACUGUGCAUUUGCCUUCUCAGAUUUCUCCUUCUCAAUUUCAUUUUUUCUUUGCUCGGCAUGUUGUGCAAUGCCACUAGCAAGCGCUUGAUAAGAAAAAUCCAAUGUAUGCAUAAGGUUCUGGAACCUGGCAGGAUCAGAUGC
RNAcentral lists this unclassified non-coding RNA (611 nucleotides) under Zea mays. RNAcentral describes it as "misc RNA Zm00001eb180530". The record is from RNAcentral. Lineage: Eukaryota; Viridiplantae; Streptophyta; Magnoliopsida; Poales; Poaceae.